AUAUGUAGUUGGUACAAGUUUGCCCAACUUGCAGACUUUUCAAUUUUCGGCAAGUGGAAUUGAGGUCUUAUAGUUAGGUAGACAUUUACUACAACUAAUAUAUA
Molecule: microRNA precursor, 104 nt
Organism: Caenorhabditis elegans
Lineage: Eukaryota; Metazoa; Nematoda; Chromadorea; Rhabditida; Rhabditidae
Source: Ensembl